CACUGCACUCCAGCCUGGGCAACAGAGCAAGACUCCAUCUAAGAAAAAAAAAAAAGUUUUCUGAUUGUUUCUUUUCCUCUUUAGUUGGGAGAGACUUGAGCAGGGUGAUGUUUGGGUGCCCAACCUUAGGCUGCAGCAUUAGGGAAUUUCAGAGUUAGCAGAGGCUACAGAAUCAUCCCAUCCGUGCCUCUAGGACAUCCUCCUGGAGAGCCAGGAGUCGCUGGGUAGGAUCAGCCCAUUCAUUGCUUUUUAUUGAGCCUACAACAGUCCAGGCCCCUUGGCCUCCCACUGCUGUGGGCAGCAGACAAACACAACCACUCUCACACCUGGCCUGGGAAGGGUAACGGGAGCUCAGGGACGGGCAAGGCUGGCUGGCUCUGGGGCCCUCAGAGAAGCAGUAGAAAUCCAGCAGGUAGAAGGGGCAUUCCGGCAAAGAAGAAAGGGCCACGCUGAGUGGCUGACGCUCUGGGGCACUGGGGAGGAGGCAGGAAGCUGCUCCGGGGUUCGAUGGUAGAGGAAGUGUUAGAGGACAAAUGUAGAGGACAUUCUCUUGUAGAGAAGUUGACUUCUGUAGUGAUGUUUGUGUUUUUUUCAUGUUUUCCUUCCCACCGAAGGGUCUCUUGUUUGUUUUGUUCUUUUUCUUUGUUUUGUCUGCUUUAAGGUAGACUCGUGUAUUGUUCAGGCCCAGAGGCUUGUGCUUGUAGCCAUAGAAAGAUGGGUUGCCGUGCACAAGACGUGACGGGAGGCUGCUGAGAUGUUCCAGGCAGGUGCUGGCGAGGCCUGGAGGAAAGACAGGAGCUGGGACGGUGGUGGAUCUGCCUCCUGGCAGCCCGCUGGAAAUUGAAGCAAGCAGAAGGGAGGAGAUUGGGGAUCCCAGGACUUUGCCAAGAGGGUGGGGUCUCUCAUCAGUAGGGGACAGGGACCGUGCAGGAGGAUGUGGCCUUCGUGUACCUUUCUAGGGCUGGUGGGGGUCUCUCCAGGUUGUCCCCCACUGGGCUACAGGAAGGACCGCAUUCCUCUGAGGGCUGUCUGCCCUUGAAGAAGGAAAUGUUAGUUGGAGAAGCAGAAGGUGUGGGAAGAAGGACCACAAAUGGGUGAGACUCCCCCGUUCCCCAGGCCUGGAUCUGAAGAGGUGUCGGAUGCUCCAGGGCCAAGGCCAGGAGAGGGGAGGCAGUGAUCACAGGGCGUGUCCCAGAUGGCCGGAGUGUGAGCAGAGGGCCCCGCCGCUCCGUGAGGGUAGGGCGACCGUGGAUCCUGGCAUGGCCAGGUCAGCCCUAGUUUAUUCUGUUGUUCUGCAGUAAUUAUGACUUUGACUCUCAAAAGUGUCCCAGUUUGGACACUAAAUUACAUGGUGGCUAUAGAGAACUGGGACACAGCAGGGUCACUUUAUUAAUGGAGCUGGUGGCUGUCAGAUGGGCUUGGCCAAAGCCUGCAGGAGCCUGUCCUCUACCCUUCACCGCCAGCCCAGCGACUGGGGCCCCGCUCAGGGCACAAAGCCCGGGGUGGCGGCCAGGGAGGACCGCUGUCCUCUAUCCUUCCUCUUACUGCUUGUGGAGAGUCCCCUGCAGGCCUGUCCUUCCUCCUCAGCUCGCCCUGGCCUCACCCUUGCCCCAGGCAUUUCUUUGGGCAUGAGGAGAGCUCAACACACCCUGAAGGUUCAACCAGGUCCUCAGCCUUUCCUGGUGGCACCAUCUUUACCCCAGGGAACUCAAUUUUCUGUACCCCCGCCCCGCCCCCCAGCCCUAGCUGAGCCUUCCUGCCUCUCCUCCCUGCUUGGGACUGCGCUAUACACUCCUGGCUCUCACCCCUGUGCCUCCGUUCCUCCGCCUGCCACUGCUGUCCCCAUUUUGGCUCCAUCCUGGGUCUUGCCCCUCGCCAGGCCUCUGCCUGGACCAUCCGUUCCCCAGGAAGCUUCAGCCCUGGGGUGCCCAUGCCCACAAGCCCACCCCAGCCCUGACACCUCCCAGCCGAGCCAGGAACCUGGGUCCGGGCUCCCUCCUCAACCCUCGAAAGUUCUGCCCAUCUCACCUGCCCUAAGAAUUUGUGGUACCUGCCCUACUUCCACCACUGUCACCCCACUCUUUCCAAAUGCAUCUACCAUCCUGUUCUGUGCCCUGUAUAUUCAUUUUCCACAUAAUUUAAAAUGCAGGUCUGGCCAGGCCCCCUCCACACGGACAACCUGGGUCCUGCUCUCCCCAGACCCCAGCCACCUGCGACCCCUCCUGCCUUAUGCUACCUGUGGCCACUCAGCCUUUGCUCCUGCUGCUGUCCCAACUGAGACGUCCUUCUAACCACCCUCUCUCACCCUCAGCACCUGCCCUGGCUUCACGCUGCUGCCUCCCAGCCACCCGGUACCCUCCACAGCGCCGCCCCUGCCGCUUCUGCCUGGAUCUGUUCUGUGCCCAGCCCGUGUUACUGGCUUGAUCUACUUGCAGGUCUGUCCUCACCAACUCGAACACCCCCGAGGGCAGGAACGGUUUACCUCAGCAUAAAGCACAGUUCCGGGGCCCCAGGAGGAGCUCAGAGGACCUGUGGGAAAUGUGGUUCCCAUGGGCAAUGACUCCCUGAAUGCAACGUCACGUGUCACCUUGGAGGGAAAGACCCCAUAAAAACCUUAAUCAUAUUCAAGGGAAAGGAGCUUGGCUCUUCCUGGGCACAGCCUAACGAUGUUGGUGACUGGGGUAGGAAGGGGACUCAGCUUCUAUUGCACCAUGUCCUCGUCGAUUCUUCUUCAUUCUGUGAGCCCAAGAGGGCAGGGACCAAGGUCAUGUAUCCCAGCAGAGCCUGCACACAGGAGGUACCUAGGUCGUGUUGGUUGGCUGAAAGCCCUGUCACCCAGCAAGAGGCAGGCAGUGAUGAGGGGACCUCAGAGGGGUGCUCUGGACUGUUACCUCAGAAGAGGAACUAUGCAGAGUGGGGCGGGCUGGCUGGGGAUGCAGCCGAGGGAGGAGGCUGACCUCCCAUGGCCACCCCGCACCUCCACGUGCACCAGGGCUUCCCCCGGGAUCAGGGCACUGAACUGCUGUUUAGAUGCAAAGAAAGAGUCCUGGGCUGGGAGUCUGGAGGUUCCAGUCUCUGUUUUCAGCAGUGUGUUUUAGUCAAGGCACUUUUACUCUCUCUGGACUUCUGUCUCCUCAAAUGCAAAAUGAAGAGCUGGACCGGAAACUUGUUCCAUCCAGUUCCAAUAUCUCCUCUUUUGCACGAAGGAUGUGGGCUUGGAGUCAGAGGAACUGGGUUCAAGAGCUGGGGCUCCAUUUACCAGAUGUAAGUCCUUGGCCAGGUUACUUAAUCUCCCAAAGCUGCCAUUUUCUCACCUGUAGAGUGGGACUGACAACCAUUAGCUACCUCUCAGAUUCUUGGGAUUAGAUAUGCUUUCGGGUGAAAACACUCCAUACGCUUUAAGGCACUAUGUGACUGCUGGUUAUUAUUGUGGUUAUUUUUUCUUUUCUAUUUAAUUAAUUAAUUAAUUAUUAUUUACUUAGCAACAGGGUCUCCCUAUGUUGCCUAGGCUAGCCUCAAAACCCAGGGCUCAAAUGAUCCUCCCAUCUUGGCCUUCCAAAAUACUGGGUUUAUAGGCAGGAGCCACCCACCCAGCCUUGUUGUUAUUGCCCUUGAUAGCAUUAUUUUUCACCAAUACCUAAUUAGUUAUUUGAUGAUCUCUCAUCUCACUAGAGCUAAGCUCCAGAAGGCAGGAGCUGGCAUGUUCCUGUUUUGUUUUGUUUUGGUUUUGGUUUUGGUUUUUUGUUUUGUUUUGUUUUGUUUUGUUUUUUUGAGACGGAGUCUCUCUCUG
Chlorocebus sabaeus (green monkey) is the source of this 3790-nucleotide long non-coding RNA. RefSeq lists it as uncharacterized. The record is from RefSeq and is a predicted model, not a curated record. NCBI's taxonomy places the organism in Eukaryota, Metazoa, Chordata, Mammalia, Primates, Cercopithecidae.